UACGGAGGAUGCGAGCGUUAUCCGGAUUUAUUGGGUUUAAAGGGUGCGUAGGCGGGCUUUUAAGUCAGCGGUAAAAAUUCGGGGCUCAACCCCGUCCGGCCGUUGAAACUGGGGGUCUUGAGUGGGCGAGAAGAAGGCGGAAUGCGUGGUGUAGCGGUGAAAUGCAUAGAUAUCACGCAGAACCCCGAUUGCGAAGGCAGCCUUCCAGCGCCCUACUGACGCUGAGGCACGAAAGUGCGGGGAUCGGACAGG
Molecule: ribosomal RNA, 252 nt
Filed under: uncultured bacterium
Lineage: Bacteria
Description: partial 16S ribosomal RNA
Rfam family: Bacterial small subunit ribosomal RNA
Source: RNAcentral